RNAcentral lists this long non-coding RNA (2630 nucleotides) under Mus musculus (house mouse). RNAcentral describes it as "predicted gene, 38408". Lineage: Eukaryota; Metazoa; Chordata; Mammalia; Rodentia; Muridae. The record is from RNAcentral.
UUGAUUUGAUCACAUGCCUGUGUCUAGUGAAGUUCAUGAGCCCAUCUUAACUUUCCGAGCUGGGACGGCCCCAUAGAGUACAACCCGUGUGGUGUAGACCUGAGUUCUGCUCCAGUGAUUCUAUCUCUGCUCUCUCCUGCAUCUUCAGGACCAACCACAGCAAAGGCGCUACAUAAUGAAAAGGGUAUUUUCAUUGUGGGGAAUAUGAAUGAGCUGACGUGGAACAGGAAGAUGUCCAGUGCUUAUAUGUAUGUGCUCCUUUGUGUGUCUUUCAUCUGUGUGUCUCUGUUGUGUAUAUAUUUUGCAUCUGUGUGUGUAUGUCUCUGUGCGUGUCUUUAUGUGUGUGUCUACGUAUGUCAGUGUGUGUCUCUAUCCAUGUGUCUGUGUAUGUCUGUGAACGUGUGUGUGUGUGUGUGUGUGUGUGUGUGUCAGUGUGAAAUGUAUCUGCUAGCUCCACUAGGAAGCCUCACAAUCAUCCAGGUGAGACAUGAUUACAGGGCAGCCAAAUGACCAAUCAUUUCUCAGCUGAAUGGUAAUUGGACAUUCCAGACUCCAGGGUCUUGGUAUCCUCCACCACAGCUUCCUCUGCACUGCUAGCUCACCACGGGAGAGUGACUUAAGCUGCUUAUGGGUAAUCCAGCUCUCAGCCCUCACCCACCGUAGCUGCCAGCCCCUCAGCGGGCAGACUUGGGUUUCUGCGUGAGGACACUGAUGUCUUCUUCCUUACCCUUUACAUCUUGGGGAGUUGACAGCCUCUGCCCAGAGCUGAAACCACACCAUUAGGCCCCAGCACAUCAACUCUCAUCCUUCUCCCACAAGUCUGGGGCUGGCGACAUCCUCACCAAAUUGGCUUCCCUAGUUCCCUGGCCCAAAUUGAUUAAUCAUCAGGCAGUUUCAGCUAUCAGCCCUGCUGCAAUUGGCAUAUUUAUUUCUAAUCAGCUCUUAAAAAUGGCAUCAUUCAGAGGUGCUUAACCACAUUACUUAAUUCUCAGCCUGUAUUGCUAUUGAUUUCAAAUAUUCUCCUUCAGAUAUGGCUCAUCACUUAAUGCAGAAGUCUGUUUAUAUAAUAAUCUUAUCUGGUUACUAAAAUCUGUGAAAUCUCUUCAAUUGCCUCUAAUGCAAGAUUGGAGGCUGGUUGCUAAAUGAGUCAAUUUUACUUUAAUUUGGUUUAUUUACAGUACAUGUUUUAAUGCCGCACAUUCCCGUCUUCCGCAGCAAAGCUGAAAAGAAAGGCAAAUAUGGGCGCAGAGAGAGGCAUGCGCUUUUCUCUGUCUGGAGGAAUGGAGGGGGCUGGUUGGCAGAGCUCCCUGAACAACACUAAACUUCUGGCCUCUAGUGACCUGUGCGAGAGGCCUACCAAGACCCUCAGUAUCCACAGUAUUGGUACAGUUCUGUCAAGAGUACCCAAGGGAAGUCACAUGGUCACAGAUCUUCCGUUUUGUACAGAUGAGAGAGUUGCUCACAACGUAGAGUCUUCCUUAUCUGGGAAAUGGGGCCAAGGUAAGAUUUUUCCAGGUGUCUUGGCAAGACACCACCAGGAGACUCCAAGGUUGAUGAGCACACAGCAAAGGCGCUGUGCAGCAUACCUCUGCCACUUCCCCUCCAUUGGCAAGGCCCCCCACAAGCACCAUUCCCCUCUGCCCCCACCCACACUUCUGCUGUGAGGGUGACUGAAGACUCCUGUGAGUUGUCUUUCAAACUGCGGAGGCCCUUUGAGCUGCAAAGGACAGAGGCCAACAGUUCUAAGUUUGCUGAGUUUCCUAAAUUUUAAACUCUAAACUGGAGAGUAAGGCACAGCCUGUCUUGGACAAGCAAAGACAGGUCCCGAGGCAGGAGUUCAGACCUGAGGCUCACAGACUCUCUGCCUUCAAGUAUUCUUACAGCAUCCCUGUUCUUAACCAGAAGUCUCUGUAUCAGUCUCUUGUCCCGGUGUGCCAUCCCUCCCAAAGGCUUGAUUCCUGGUGCUGUUCCCUCUACCUAUGGCUUUCAUAAGUAGCCACUGUGGAGGAUGGGCUCUUGUGUCAUUGAUUAUUGGUGGCCUGAAGACCAUGUCCCUGGGACCAGAUGUCUAUCCCUGGCCCUGUCACCCUUGUCUGUGAUAGAGAGCCCAGCUGUACUUCAAAUGCAAAAGCUGGUAACAGCAGCAUCUGCAGAAGACGAUGGGAGCAGAAGGUCCUGGCUCUGAAUUACCCUUGCUUUCCAGAGACACAAUUGGCAGAGUAACCCAGAUGCCACCUCAUGGUACAGCAAUGGCCAGCUGUGCAGCCUGGGGCAAGCAACUUCCUCUCAGUGCAUCUUGGAUUCCUCCACAUUGGGCACGAAUGCUUCUGAUGGUAUUGGGAUUUGCAGGGAGGAGCCAGGGAUUGGCAAGCAAAGGCCCAGCUCCUCCUUGCCUGUUGCCUGUGACUGACUGUACCACUCAACACCCGAAGGCUCCUGUGUGCAUUUGCCCAAGCAGCUCUUCCAUCCCCUCCAUCCCCUCCAUGGUUCUGCCCCUCUGUGACCCUCUCCUCACCCGAGCCUCAAAGCAGGGGUGGAUGGUUUGAUGUUAACUGGCCUGGAUGAAAUGCUUUCUGCUGGCAAUUGCCUUCAUUGCCUGCUGUAAAAUUACAUCUAUAUUUAAAUAUGCU